This 205-nucleotide unclassified non-coding RNA is filed under the name soil metagenome. Its description in RNAcentral is "partial contains 5.8S ribosomal RNA, internal transcribed spacer 2, and large subunit ribosomal RNA". The record is from RNAcentral.
AACACUGUUAACCUGCGGUACCUGCGGAGGGAUCAUUACCGAGUUUACAACUCCCAAACCCCUGUGAACAUACCUAUAUGUUGCCUCGGCGGAUCAGCCCGCGCCCCGUAAAACGGGACGGCCCGCCGCAGGAUCCACAAACUCUGUUUUUAUUGUAACUUCUGAGUAACAAAACAAAUAAAUCAAAACUUUCAACAACGGAUCU